UACGUAGGUGGCAAGCGUUGUCCGGAAUUACUGGGCGUAAAGGAUGCGUAGGCGGCCUCUUAAGUGGGAUGUGAAAUCCCGGGGCUUAACCCCGGAGCUGCAUUCCAUACUGGGAGGCUAGAGUGCAGGAGAGGAAAGCGGAAUUCCCAGUGUAGCGGUGAAAUGCGUAGAGAUUGGGAGGAACACCAGUGGCGAAGGCGGCUUUCUGGACUGUAACUGACGCUGAGGCAUGAAAGUGUGGGGAGCAAACAGG
This 253-nucleotide ribosomal RNA is filed under the name uncultured bacterium. RNAcentral's name for it is "partial 16S ribosomal RNA". It matches the Rfam family "Bacterial small subunit ribosomal RNA", at positions 524 to 776 of the family's 1533-position model. The record is from RNAcentral.